RNAcentral lists this transfer RNA (75 nucleotides) under uncultured Actinomycetes bacterium. RNAcentral describes it as "tRNA-Met". It matches the Rfam family "tRNA". From Rfam's summary of the family: Transfer RNA (tRNA) molecules are approximately 80 nucleotides in length. Their secondary structure includes four short double-helical elements and three loops (D, anti-codon, and T loops). The record is from RNAcentral. RNAcentral also lists the same sequence under 1 other name. Lineage: Bacteria; Bacillati; Actinomycetota; Actinomycetes.
GGGGCCGUAGCUCAGUGGUUAGAGCAGGGGACUCAUAAUCCCUCGGUCGAAGGUUCGAUCCCUUCCGGCCCCACC